This 482-nucleotide ribosomal RNA is filed under the name uncultured Rhodocyclaceae bacterium. Its description in RNAcentral is "bacterial SSU rRNA". It matches the Rfam family "Bacterial small subunit ribosomal RNA", at positions 900 to 1382 of the family's 1533-position model. The record is from RNAcentral. Lineage: Bacteria; Pseudomonadati; Pseudomonadota; Betaproteobacteria; Rhodocyclales; Rhodocyclaceae.
CUUAAAGGAAUUGACGGGACCGCACAAGCGGUGGAUGAUGUGGAUUAAUUCGAUGACAACGCGAAAAACCUUACCUACCCUUGACAUGUCCGGAAUCCCGAAGAGAUUUGGGAGUGCUCGCAAGAGAACCGGAACACAGGUGCUGCAUGGCUGUCGUCAGCUCGUGUCGUGAGAUGUUGGGUUAAGUCCCGCAACGAGCGCAACCCUUGUCAUUAGUUGCCAUCAUUUGGUUGGGCACUCUAAUGAGACUGCCGGUGACAAACCGGAGGAAGGUGGGGAUGACGUCAAGUCCUCAUGGCCCUUAUGGGUAGGGCUUCACACGUCAUACAAUGGUCGGUACAGAGGGUUGCCAACCCGCGAGGGGGAGCUAAUCCCACAAAGCCGACCGUAGUCCGGAUCGCAGUCUGCAACUCGACUGCGUGAAGUCGGAAUCGCUAGUAAUCGUGGAUCAGCAUGUCACGGUGAAUACGUUCCCGGGUCUU